UGCAUUCACUACUGUAAGUCGCUCUGGAUAAGAGCAUCUGCUAAAUUACGUAAA
Non-coding RNA from Salmo salar (Atlantic salmon), 54 nucleotides. Lineage: Eukaryota; Metazoa; Chordata; Actinopteri; Salmoniformes; Salmonidae. The record is from Rfam.